GGAUUGCACCCAGAGGCACUCAACUACACCCCAGCCCUUUUGAUUUUAUGUCAAGGGCUAAGGUGCUGAGGCUGGCCUCAAACUUUGCAUCCUCCUGCCUUAGCCUCCUGAGUAACUGGGAUGAUUGACGUGCAGCACCAGGCCCGGCCAAGGUUUGGUUUAAUAAUCAAGUUCUCUUGGGACACAGCUACAUGCCUUGACCUACUCCUGUCGUCUGUGGCCACUUUCACAGCAGAAUCGAGGUGUUGCCUCAUCUGUGAAGCCUCAAGAGACACACCCUUCCCUUUGACGGAGCCACCAAUCAGCUCACAUAAUCCUGCAAUGCGUGUCUGGUCAUUGGAGAUAAGGAAACUGGGGCUGAGAGAGGACGCACCUGGCUCCAAUUCAUGUAAAGUAAGCAGCCGAAGCGGCACCCGUUGAAGCUCUUGACCUUGACCUCCAGCCUGUGAGGCGCAGACCACCCAGUGCCUCUGCCCCCUCACUGAGUGGCAGUUUUCAGCGGACACAACAUCUUUGUAUGUGGUGCUGAGGAUCGAACCCGGGCCGCACGCAUGCCAGGCAAGCACACUACCGCUUGAGCCACAUCCCCAGCCCCCAGACUCGCUUUUGACAGGAGCAAGUAUCACUCAGAAGAUUGCGGCUCAAGUCGUCGUCUGGGUGAUGGCCAUGAAACCACAUCUCACCACACCUGGCACUUGUCACAAGUCCCCAGGGAGCCGGUUUCUGCUUCAAGGAAUAGACACUAGAAAAGACAGCCUUGCCUUCCAAAAUCAAAGCGAUGCUAUUUAACAGAAGAGAAAUGUUGGAGAAAGACCAGCAGUCCCAUGCCACAGGAAUCUGUCCCUCGAUGAGAUGUGAUUCAGAAGCGAGGGUCGUAUUCAUGUUUGUGGAAGUUGGUGAAAAUGGAAGAAUCCAGGGUGGAAGAAUCCGUGAGCAGCCCAAACCAGUGGGGCCUGGCGUGACCUCAGCCUUGAACUGAUUUGAAGCAUGGUCCUUGCAAAGGCCUGGAUUAAAGAAAUGUAGCUCCACCAAUCAGAAACGGCCAACAGCCCAGAAUCCCAACGGUUCGGGAGGCUGAGGCAGGAGGAUCGCAAGUUCAAAGGCAGCCUCAGCAACUUAGCAAGACCCCGAGCAACUCAGCGAGGCCCUGUCUCUAAACAAAAUAUAAAAAGGGACAGGGGACCUGGCUCAGUGGUCAAAUGUCCCUGGGUUCAAGCCAAUGACACAUAAGGCACCAUACAGCCAAUGAAAAGGAAAAGAGUCUUCCACAGAGUGGAAGACAGAACCAGGGUCGCUCUCGUGCUAGGCAAGCCCCUGAGCCACCUCAGAGACCUUUCUGUACUCUUUCUGUGCCUGUUGGUGAUGAGCCUGCCACCAGGUCUCCUCAGUGGGGCUCCUGAACCGCUUCUGACUGGAGCUGCCUAGUUCAUGAAUUAUCAUUUGCACAAAUAAAACUCUUUAAAAUAUUA
This is a long non-coding RNA of Marmota monax (woodchuck), 1469 nucleotides long. RefSeq lists it as uncharacterized. The record is from RefSeq and is a predicted model, not a curated record. Lineage: Eukaryota; Metazoa; Chordata; Mammalia; Rodentia; Sciuridae. The transcript has 2 exons.